AGGGUGCGAGCGUUAAUACGGAAUUACGUGGGACGUAAAGCGCAUGCAGGCGGCCUGUUAAGUCAGAUGUAGAAAGGCCCGGGGACCUUUAACCGUACCGGUAAAGUUGCUAUUUAGUAAACGUGGCGAGGCUAGAGUCUUGUAGAGGGGGGUAGGAAUUUCAGGUGUAGCGGUGAAAUGCGUAGAGAUCUGAAGGAAUACCAGUGGCGAAGGCGGCCCCCUGGACAAAGACUGACGCUCAGAUGCGAAAGCGUGGGGAGCAAACAGGAUUAGAUACCCUGGUAG
Molecule: ribosomal RNA, 285 nt
Filed under: uncultured bacterium
Lineage: Bacteria
Description: partial 16S ribosomal RNA
Rfam family: Bacterial small subunit ribosomal RNA
Source: RNAcentral